Molecule: long non-coding RNA, 1172 nt
Organism: Gasterosteus aculeatus aculeatus (three-spined stickleback)
Lineage: Eukaryota; Metazoa; Chordata; Actinopteri; Perciformes; Gasterosteidae
Source: Ensembl
CGAUGGUUACCACGAUAGUUACCACGUAGUUACCACGAUAGUUACAAUAGUUACCACGUAGUUACAUUACCACAAUAGUUACGCUAGUUACCACGCAGUUACCACGAUAGUUACGACGUAGUCACCACAUUACCACGAUGCUUACCACGAUAGUUACCACGUAGUUACCACGAUAGUUACAAUAGUUACCACGUAGUUACAUUACCACAAUAGUUACGAUAGUUACCAUGUAGUUACCACAUUACCACGAUAGUUACCACGUAGUUACGAUUGUUAUCACGUAGUUACCUCGUAUUACCACAUAGUUACCACGUAGUUGCCACAUUACCAUGAUAGUUACGCUAGUUACCACGCAGUUACCACGAUAGUUACGACGUAGUCACCACAUUACCACGAUGGUUACCACGUAGUUACUACGGUAGUUACCAUGUAGUUACCACAUUACCACGAUAGUUACCACGCAGUUACCACGAUCGUUACCACGAUAGUUACCACGUAGUUACAUUACCACGAUAGUUACGAUAGUCACCACGUAGUUACCACAUAGUCACCAGUUACCACGUAGUUACCACAUUACCACGAUAGUUACCACGUAUUAUCAACGAUAGUUACCACGUAGUUACAUUACCACGAUAGUUACGAUAGUCACCACGUAGUUACCACGAUAGUUGCGACGUAGUUACCACGUAGUUACCACAUUACCACGAUAGUUACGAUAGUCACCACGUAGUUACCACGAUAGUUGCGACGUAGUUACCACGUAGUUACCACAUUACCACGAUAGUUACGAUAGUUACCACGAUAGUUACCACGUACUUACCACAUUACAACGAUAGUUACGAUAGUUACCACAUAGUUACCACGAUACAUACAAUACAGAAUCACAAGACUAAUUGUAACAUGGAAGAUACCUGGGUGUGAAAGUUUAUUGUUGACCUUUUGAAAAUGAAAAAAAGAAGCUUUAAGCUACCAGCUUUACAGGCCCAACACAUCCAGUUGAUGAAGGAUCUUUUAAAGAGUUCAUCAAUUAGUGUUGGCGGAUAUCUUCAAGCUACAAAUCACCUUUUUGAAGUUUCAAGUUGACAUAUUUCGAAUGCAGUGGAAUCAUGGGAGCAAAAAGAGUGAGUUAAAGUAUAUCCGGCCCUCAGACUGCAGUCGGGUUUUCAUCAGAA